Molecule: ribosomal RNA, 253 nt
Filed under: uncultured bacterium
Lineage: Bacteria
Description: partial 16S ribosomal RNA
Rfam family: Bacterial small subunit ribosomal RNA
Source: RNAcentral
UACGUAGGGCGCAAGCGUUGUCCGGAAUUACUGGGCGUAAAGCGUGCGUAGACGGUAGCGUAAGUCGGGUGUGAAAGCCCCGGGCUCAACCUGGGAAUUGCAUUCGAGACUGCUCUGCUAGGGUGCGGAAGAGGGAAGCGGAAUUUCCGGUGUAGCGGUGAAAUGCGUAGAUAUCGGAAGGAACACCAGUGGCGAAAGCGGCUUCCUGGUCCAGCACCGACGUUCAGGCACGAAAGCGUGGGGAGCAAACAGG